RNAcentral lists this transfer RNA (75 nucleotides) under Stegodyphus mimosarum. It matches the Rfam family "tRNA". From Rfam's summary of the family: Transfer RNA (tRNA) molecules are approximately 80 nucleotides in length. The record is from Rfam by way of RNAcentral. Lineage: Eukaryota; Metazoa; Arthropoda; Arachnida; Araneae; Eresidae.
GCCUUCGUGGUGUAAUGGUCAGAACACUUGGCGCCCGUAUUCGAGAGGUCCGAGGUUCGAGUCCCGGUGAGGGCA